Molecule: ribosomal RNA, 757 nt
Filed under: Rhigonema sp. 1 HMM2015
Lineage: Eukaryota; Metazoa; Nematoda; Chromadorea; Rhabditida; Rhigonematidae
Description: eukaryotic LSU rRNA
Rfam family: Eukaryotic large subunit ribosomal RNA
Source: RNAcentral
AGUGCAAAGAACUUUGAAGAGAGAGUUCAAGAGGGCGUGAAACCGCUGAGAUGGAAACGGAUAGAGUUGACGAAACUUGGCGGCAUUCAACCGAUUGACUUAGCGGCCUUGCGGUUUUGUGCCUCGAUGAGGGCAAAGACGUGAGCAGCUGCCGAGCUUGUGAUUGGUGUAUUUGUCGUCGGUAUGCGCCGAGAAAUUCAUGGCCGUGUGCUGGCGCUUGUGUAGUGGACUACUCCCUCGUGGAGUGGAACCCUGCGUAGGUUGAGGCAUAUUGGUUACGAAUGUUGUUGGCGUCUUCGCUAUCGCGCAAGAAUUGUUGCCGGUUGACGUGGCCAUUGGGCGGUCGCAUGCGACUUGCUUAUGGUUGGUGUUGGUCGGCGUGCGAUUCGGUUGCGUGGGGACGCAAGUCUCGGUGUGAAAGUUGACCACCUAUCCGACCCGUCUUGAAACACGGACCAAGGAGUCUAGCAUAUGCGCGAGUCGUUGGGUGGAAAACCUAAAGGCGUAAUGAAAGUAAAGACCGUCUCGAUGCGGUUGAUAUGGGAUCCGAGUGGUUUUGGCCGCGCGGCGCACCAUAGCCCCGUCCCCGCUGCUUGCAGUAGGGCGGAGAUAGAGCGCAUACGCUGGGACCCGAAAGAUGGUGAACUAUGCCUGAGCAGGAUGAAGCCAGAGGAAACUCUGGUGGAGGUCCGAAGCGGUUCUGACGUGCAAAUCGAUCGUCUGACUUGGGUAUAGGGGCGAAAGACUAAUCGAACCU